RNAcentral lists this ribosomal RNA (253 nucleotides) under uncultured bacterium. RNAcentral describes it as "partial 16S ribosomal RNA". It matches the Rfam family "Bacterial small subunit ribosomal RNA", at positions 524 to 776 of the family's 1533-position model. The record is from RNAcentral.
CACGUAGGGGGCUAGCGUUGUCCGGAAUCAUUGGGCGUAAAGCGCGUGUAGGCGGUCCGGUAAGUCCGCUGUGAAAGUCGGGGGCUCAACCCUCGGAUGCCGGUGGAUACUGUCGGGCUUGAGUACGGAAGAGGCGAGUGGAAUUCCUGGUGUAGCGGUGAAAUGCGCAGAUAUCAGGAGGAACACCAAUUGCGAAGGCAGCUCGCUGGGACGUUACUGACGCUGAGACGCGAAAGCGUGGGUAGCAAACAGG